This 441-nucleotide ribosomal RNA is filed under the name uncultured bacterium. RNAcentral describes it as "partial 16S ribosomal RNA". It matches the Rfam family "Bacterial small subunit ribosomal RNA", at positions 338 to 795 of the family's 1533-position model. The record is from RNAcentral.
CCUACGGGUGGCAGCAGUGGGGGAUAUUGCACAAUGGGGGGAACCCUGAUGCAGCGACGCCGCGUGGGUGAAGGAGUGCUUCGGCAUGUAAAGCCCUAUCGGCAGGGAAGAAGCAAGACGGUACCUGACUAAGAAGCCCCGGCUAACUACGUGCCAGCAGCCGCGGUAAUACGUAGGAGGCGAGCGUUAUCCGGAUUCACUGGGUGUAAAGGGAGCGUAGACGGUCAUGCAAGCCAGGGGGGAAAGCCCGGGGCCCAACCCCGGGACUGCCCUUGAAACUGGGCGGCUAGAGUGCGGGAGGGGCAGGCGGAAUGCCUGGUGUAGCGGUGAAAUGCGUAGAUAUCAGGAGGAACACCGGCGGCGAAGGCGGCCUGCUGGACUGCGACUGACGUUGAGGCUCGAAAGCGUGGGGAGCGAACAGGAUUAGAUACCCUUGUAGUC